This 73-nucleotide transfer RNA is filed under the name Salmonella enterica subsp. enterica serovar Typhimurium str. LT2. RNAcentral describes it as "tRNA-Lys". It matches the Rfam family "tRNA". Rfam says of the family: Transfer RNA (tRNA) molecules are approximately 80 nucleotides in length. Their secondary structure includes four short double-helical elements and three loops (D, anti-codon, and T loops). Lineage: Bacteria; Pseudomonadati; Pseudomonadota; Gammaproteobacteria; Enterobacterales; Enterobacteriaceae. The record is from RNAcentral. RNAcentral also lists the same sequence under 1 other name.
UAUGGGUCGUUAGCUCAGUUGGUAGAGCAGUUGACUUUUAAUCAAUUGGUCGCAGGUUCGAAUCCUGCACGAC